UACUCGUUCGUUUAAGAACAGACGAAAAUCUUUAUAGAAAAAAAGACUGCUCACCUGGUAAGUUUUUGCGUAUAACAGUCCUUAAGUUAUUAUACGUAUGUACUAUAGACUAUAACGUAACCUUAGUCUGAAGCUUGAUCAAUCUUUUUUUUUCAUUUUGUACAUGUGCUAUAAUUAAUGCUGAGUUUUUAAAAGUAAAUCUCAGUUAUUAUCGUUACUUCGA
RNAcentral lists this unclassified non-coding RNA (223 nucleotides) under Melitaea cinxia (Glanville fritillary). RNAcentral describes it as "misc RNA ENSMCXG00005002309.1". Lineage: Eukaryota; Metazoa; Arthropoda; Insecta; Lepidoptera; Nymphalidae. The record is from RNAcentral.